RNAcentral lists this microRNA precursor (102 nucleotides) under Marmota monax (woodchuck). Lineage: Eukaryota; Metazoa; Chordata; Mammalia; Rodentia; Sciuridae. The record is from RNAcentral.
AUAGGAAUCACCAAAGGGAUCUGAUUAAAAGGUAUAUUCUGAUUCAUAAAGUCUAAGUCUUCAAGAUUCUGCAUUUCUAUCAAGUUUCCAAGUGACACAAAG